This 1258-nucleotide ribosomal RNA is filed under the name uncultured bacterium. RNAcentral's name for it is "bacterial SSU rRNA". It matches the Rfam family "Bacterial small subunit ribosomal RNA", at positions 77 to 1381 of the family's 1533-position model. The record is from RNAcentral.
GUGCAGAAUGCCGGCGAGCGGCGAACGGCUGAGUAACGCGUAGGAAUUUGCCCCAAAGUGAGGGAUAACUGCCCGAAAGGGUAGCUAAUACCGCAUAUGGUCUUCGGAUUAAAGGAUUUAUCCGCUUUGGGAGAAGCCUGCGUUGGAUUAGGUUGUUGGUAGGGUAAUGGCCUACCAAGCCGACGAUCCAUAGCUGGUCUGAGAGGAUGAUCAGCCAGACUGGAACUGAGACACGGUCCAGACUCCUACGGGAGGCAGCAGUGAGGAAUCUUCCACAAUGGGCGAAAGCCUGAUGGAGCAACGCCGCGUGAAGGAUGAAGGCCUUCGGGUUGUAAACUUCUCUUAUGAGUGAAGAAUAUGACGGUAACUCAUGAAUAAGCACCGGCUAACUACGUGCCAGCAGCCGCGGUCAUACGUAGGGUGCAAGCAUUAUCCGGAGUGACUGGGCGUAAAGAGUUGCGUAGGCGGUUUUAUAAGUGAAUAGUGAAACCUGGUGGCUCAACCAUACAGACUAUUAUUCAAACUGUUAAACUCGAGAAUGGUAGGGGUAACUGGAAUUUCUUGUGUAGGAGUGAAAUCCGUAGAUAUAAGAAGGAACACCGAUGGCGUAGGCAGGUUACUGGGCCAUUUCUGACGCUAAGGCACGAAAGCGUGGGGAGCGAACCGGAUUAGAUACCCGGGUAGUCCACGCCGUAAACGAUGGAUACUAGCUGUUGGAGGUAUCGACCCCUUCAGUAGCGAAGCUAACGCGUUAAGUAUCCCGCCUGUGGAGUACGGCCGCAAGGCUAAAACAUAAAGGAAUUGACGGGGACCCGCACAAGCGGUGGAUUAUGUUCUUUAAUUCGAUGAUAACCGAAGAACCUUACCAGGGCUUGACAUCCAGGGAAGGUCUACGAAAGUAGACUGUGCCUUUUGGAACCCUGUGACAGGUGAUGCAUGGCCGUCGUCAGCUCGUGUCGUGAGAUGUUAGGUUAAGUCCUUCAACGAGCGCAACCCUUGCAAGUAGUUGUAUUUUUCUACUUGGACUGCCCCGGUAACGGGGAGGAAGGAGGGGAUGAUGUCAGGUCAGUAUUUCCCUUACGUCCUGGGCUAGAAACGUAAUACAAUGGCUAGUACAAUGCGCAGCGAAGCCGCGAGGUGAAGCAAAUCGCAUCAAAGCUAGUCCCAGUUCGGAUUGGAGGCUGAAACUCGCCUCCAUGAAGUCGGAAUCGCUAGUAAUCGCAAAUCAGCAAGUUGCGGUGAAUACGUUCCCGGGUCU